Non-coding RNA from Brachypodium distachyon (stiff brome), 137 nucleotides. The record is from Rfam. NCBI's taxonomy places the organism in Eukaryota, Viridiplantae, Streptophyta, Magnoliopsida, Poales, Poaceae.
UAUUUACUCCCUCCGUCCGGAAAUAAGUGACUUGAAUUUGUCUAGAUUCGCAUGUAUUUACAUACUAAAACAGGUCUAGAUACAUACGAAUUUAGACAAAUUUUGAGUCACUUAUUUCCGGACAGAGGGAGUACUAA